GCACUCAAUGCUUCCCUUGCU
RNAcentral lists this non-coding RNA (21 nucleotides) under Arabidopsis thaliana (thale cress). Lineage: Eukaryota; Viridiplantae; Streptophyta; Magnoliopsida; Brassicales; Brassicaceae. The record is from RNAcentral.